Molecule: unclassified non-coding RNA, 247 nt
Filed under: Hevea brasiliensis (rubber tree)
Lineage: Eukaryota; Viridiplantae; Streptophyta; Magnoliopsida; Malpighiales; Euphorbiaceae
Source: RNAcentral
GAGUUGUGCGAACUUAGUGCGGGAAUUCAAGCUAUCAAUGUCAAGGUCAAGUUUUUAAAGAGCUUAACUCGGCUCCAUAGAUUUUCACAAGUUUUAAACUUAUAGCUCAUUUAGAUUUUGUUAGGUUUAGAUUUGGCUUAGGCUUGGCUUGCAUUUUAGCUCCUUUUUACCUGAACUCCCAAAUCCCAACAAAAUCAAACCUUUAACCAAACAUAAAUAACUAAAUAACUAUCAUAAUUCAACCGGG